Long non-coding RNA from Suricata suricatta (meerkat), 350 nucleotides. RefSeq lists it as uncharacterized. The transcript is spliced from 2 exons. The record is from RefSeq and is a predicted model, not a curated record. Lineage: Eukaryota; Metazoa; Chordata; Mammalia; Carnivora; Herpestidae.
CCUUUGUUCAGCUUCUCACAAUUGUAACAAUUUAAAUAUUUACCAGUAAGCUAAUUGUGAGUUAGGAUUCAAGUUGUUUCUAAGGUCUAAGGACACAGAGACAGACCACCAAGCCCUCAAUCAAGAGUCAUGAAAUGAUGUCUGAAGAACAAGAAUGAGCCAGAGGUGAACUGGGUCUUACUAAAACUUUACAACACUGGCUGGAUACAUACAGCUUAUUCCUUCACUGGAUUAAGAUAACUCCUUAUCCUUCUACCUGUUAGAGGUGUUGAUUCUGCCUAAUAGAGGAAAGGUCAAAUCCUCUUGGUAUAUCAUCUGGCACACAUCAUAAUAAAAAAUUUGAAAACUGA